UUCAUGUUACAAAUUAAAGCAAAGAAAGACAUGACAACGAAAAGCAAAAGCAAAGAGCCGAAAAGCUGAACCAAAGCCCAACUUCGAGAAACCAAAAUUGAUCGCUUUAUCGGUGCCGCAGACAGGACUAAAAACGCACUUUUCCCUCCAAAUUAUCCUUUCUCAGGCAAGACUUACUAAUGGGCCAUUCGUUUCUAGUCUACAGCUGUAAAACUCGACGUGUGAGGGCAACCCACGCGCUGUCCCAAAUAUCGUAU
Molecule: long non-coding RNA, 257 nt
Filed under: Theobroma cacao (cacao)
Lineage: Eukaryota; Viridiplantae; Streptophyta; Magnoliopsida; Malvales; Malvaceae
Description: long non-coding RNA (TCAC_LNC001171)
Source: RNAcentral